Molecule: long non-coding RNA, 4833 nt
Filed under: Citrus x clementina
Lineage: Eukaryota; Viridiplantae; Streptophyta; Magnoliopsida; Sapindales; Rutaceae
Description: Citrus clementina (C. clementina) long non-coding RNA (CCLE_LNC002164)
Source: RNAcentral
GCCCGCGCCCCCCACCAAGGCUAUAGCCCACCCGUUUUUUGGCCAUUUUUCCGCUGGGGGGUUUUGGCACCACGACCUUCGGGCGCUUAUUUUUGGGCGCGGCUUUGCCCGCGGCUUAUUUUUGGCGCCCCGAGGCCCCGCGCAAAGUCUCGUCCCAUUCCGAGUCCGGCGGACGAACUUCGCCCGCGCCCCCCACCAAGGCUAUAGCCCACCCGUUUUUUGGCCAUUUUUCCGCUGGGGAGUUUGGCACCACGACCUUCGGGCGCUUAUUUUUGGGCGCGGGUUUGCCCGCGGCUUAUUUUUGGUGCNNNNNNNNNNNNNNNNNNNNNNNNNNNNNNNNNNNNNNNNNNNNNNNNNNNNNNNNNNNNNNNNNNNNNNNNNNNNNNNNNNNNNNNNNNNNNNNNNNNNACUUCGCCCGCGCCCCCCACCAAGGCUAUAGCCCACCCGUUUUUUGGCCAUUUUUCCGCUGGGGGGUUUUGGCACCACGAACUUCGGGCGCUUAUUUUUGGACGCGGCUGUGCCCGUGACUUCCCGCGGGCACCCCGAGGCCCCUCACAAAGUCUCGCCCCAUUCCGAGUCCGGCGGACGAACUUCGCCCGCGCCCCCCACCAAGGCUAUAGCCCACCCGUUUUUUGGUCAUUUUUCCGCUGGGGGGUUUUGGCACCACGACCUUCGGGCGCUUAUUUUUGGGCGCGGCUUUGCCCGCGGCUUAUUUUUGGCGCCCCGAGGCCCCGCGCAAAGUCUCGUCCCAUUCCGAGUCCGGCGGACGAACUUCGCCCGCGCCCCCCACCAAGGCUAUAGCCCACCCGUUUUUUGGCUAUUUUUCCGCUGGGGGUUUUGGCACCACGACCUUCGGGCGCUUAUUUUUGGGCGCGGCUUUGCCCGCGGCUUAUUUUUGGUGCCCCGAGGCCCCUCGCAAAGUCUCGCCCCAUUCCGAGUCCGGCGGACGAACUUCGCCCGCGCCCCCCACCAAGGCUAUAGCCCACCCGUUUUUUGGCUAUUUUUCCGCUGGGGGUUUUGGCACCACGACCUUCGGGCGCUUAUUUUUGGGCGCGGCUUUGCCCGCGGCUUAUUUUUGGUGCCCCGAGGCCCCUCGCAAAGUCUCGCCCCAUUCCGAGUCCGGCGGACGAACUUCGCCCGCGCCCCCCACCAAGGCUAUAGCCCACCCGUUUUUUGGCCAUUUUUCCGCUGGGGGGUUUUGGCACCACGAACUUUGGGCGCUUAUUUUUGGACGCGGCUGUGCCCGCGACUUCCCGCGGGCACCCCGAGGCCCCUCGCAAAGUCUCGCCCCAUUCCGAGUCCGGCGGACGAACUUCGCCUGCGCCCCCCACCAAGGCUAUAGCCCACCCGUUUUUUGGCCAUUUUUCCGCUGGGGGGUUUUGGCACCACGACCUUCGGGCGCUUAUUUUUGGGUGCGGCUUUGCCCGCAGCUUAUUUUUGGCACGCCGAGGCCCCUCGCAAAGUCUCGCCCCAUUCCGAGUCCGGCGGACGAACUUCGCCCGCGCCCCCCACCAAGGCUAUAGCCCACCCGUUUUUAGGCCGUUUUUCCGCUGGGGGGUUUUCACACCACGACCUUCGGGCGCUUAUUUUUGGGCGCGGCUUUGCCCGCGGCUUAUUUUUGGCGCCCUGAGGCCCCGCGCAAAGUCUCGCCCCAUUCCGAGUCCGGCGGACGAACUUCGCCCGCGCCCCCCACCAAGGCUAUAGCCCACCCGUUUUUUGGCCAUUUUUCCGCUGGGGGGUUUUGGCACCACGACCUUCGGGCGCUUAUUUUUGGGCUCGGCUUUGCCCGCGGCUUAUUUUUGGCGCCCCGAGGCCCCUCGCAAAGUCUCGCCCCAUUUCGAGUCCGGCGGACGAACUUCGCCCGCGCCCCCCACCAAGGCUAUAGCCCACUCGUGUUUUGGCCAUUUUUCCGCUGGGGGGUUUUGGCACCACGACCUUCGGCCGCUUAUUUUUGGGCGCGGCUGUGCCCGCGACUUCCCGCGGGCACCCCGAGGCCCCUCGCAAAGUCUCGCCCCAUUCCGAGUCCGGCGGACGAACUUCGCCCGCGCCCCCCACCAAGGCUAUAGCCCACCCGUUUUUUGGCCAUUUUUCCGCUGGGGGGUUUUAGCACCACGAACUUCGGGCGCUGAUUUUUGGAUGCGGCUGUGCCCGCGACUUCCCGCGGGCACCCCGAGGCCCCUCGCAAAGUCUCGCCCCAUUCCGAGUCCGGCGGACGAACUUCGCCCGCGCACCCCGCCAAGGCUAUAGCCCACCCGUUUUUUGGCAUUUUUCCGCUGGGGGGUUUUGGCACCACGACCUUCGGGCGCUUAUUUUUGGGCGCGGCUUUGCCCGCGGCUUAUUUUUGGCACCCCGAGGCCCCGCGCAAAGUCUCGCCCCAUUCCGAGUCCGGCGGACGAACUUCGCCCGCGCCCCCCACCAAGGCUAUAGCCCACCCGUUUUUUGGCCAUUUUUCCUCUGGGGGGUUUUGCCACCACGACCUUCGGGCACUUAUUUUUGGGCGCGGCUUUGCCCGCGGCUUAUUUUUGGUGCCCCGAGGCCCCUCGCAAAGUCUCGGCCCAUUCCGAGUCUGGCGGACGAACUUCGCCCGCGCCCCCCACCAAGGCUAUUGCCCCCCCGUUUUUUGGCCAUUUUUCCGCUGGGGGAUUUUGGCACCACGACCUUCGGGCGCUUAUUUUUGGACACGGCUGUGCCCCCGACUUCCCGCGGGCACCCCGAGGCCCCUCGCAAAGUCUCGCCCCAUUCCGAGUCCGGCGGACGAACUUCGCCCGCGCCCCCCACCAAGGCUAUAGCCCACCCGUUUUUUGGCCAUUUUUCCGCUGGGGGGUUUUGGCACCAUGAACUUCGGGCGCUUAUUUUUGGAUGCGGCUGUGCCCGCGACUUCCUGCGGGCACCCCGAGGCCCCUCGUAAAGUGUCGCCCCAUUCCGAGUCCGGCGGACGAACUUCGCCCGCGGCCCCCACCAAGGCUAUAGCCCACCCGUUUUUUGGCCAUUUUUCCGCUGGGGGGUUUUGGCACCACGACCUUCGGGCGCUUAUUUUUGGGUGCGGCUUUGCCCGCGGCUUAUUUUUGGUACCCCGAGGCCCCUUGCAAAGUCUCGCCCCAUUCCGAGUCCGGCGGACGAACUUCGCCCGCGCCCCCCACCAAGGCUAUAGCCCACCCGUUUUUUGGCCAUUUUUCCGCUGGGGGGUUUUGGCACCACGACCUUCGGGCGCUUAUUUUUGGGUGCGGCUUUGCCCGCGGCUUAUUUUUGGUGCCCCGAGGCCCCUCGCAAAGUCUCGCCCCAUUCCGAGUCCGGCGGACGAACUUCGCCCGCGCCCCCCACCAAGGCUAUAGCCCACCCGUUUUUUGGCCAUUUUUCCGCUGGGGGGUUUUGGCACCACGACCUUCGGGCGCUUAUUUUUGGACGCGGCUGUGCCCGCGACUUCCCGCGGGCACCCCGAGGCCCCUCGCAAAGUCUCGCCCCAUUCCGAGUCCGGCGGACGAACUUCGCCCGCGCCCCCCACCAAGGCUAUAGCCCACCCGUUUUUUGGCCAUUUUUCCGCUGGGGGGUUUUGGCACCACGAACUUCGGGCGCUUAUUUUUGGAUGCGGCUGUGCCCGUGACUUCCCGCGGGCACCCCGAGGCCCCUCGCAAAGUCUCGCCCCAUUCCGAGUCCGGCGGACGAACUUCGCCCGCGGCCCCCACCAAGGCUAUAGCCCACCCGUUUUUUGGCCAUUUUUCCGCUGGGGGGUUUUGGCACCACGACCUUCGGGCGCUUAUUUUUGGGUGCGGCUUUGCCCGCGGCUUAUUUUUGGUACCCCGAGGCCCCUUGCAAAGUCUCGCCCCAUUCCGAGUCCGGCGGACGAACUUCGCCCGCGCCCCCCACCAAGGCUAUAGCCCACCCGUUUUUUGGCCAUUUUUCCUCUGGGGGGUUUUGCCACCACGACCUUCGGGCACUUAUUUUUGGGCGCGGCUUUGCCCGUGGCUUAUUUUUGGUGCCCCGAGGCCCCUCGCAAAGUCUCGCCCCAUUUCGAGUCCGGCGGACGAACUUCGUCCACGCCCCCCACCAAGGCUAUAGCCCACCCGUUUUUUGGCCAUUUUUCCGCUGGGGGGUUUUGGCACCACGACCUUCGGGCACUUAUUUUUGGACGCGGCUUUGCCCGCGGCUUAUUUUUGGCACCCCGAGGCCCCUCGCAAAGUCUCGCCCCAUUCCGAGUCUGGCGGACGAACUUCGCCCGCGCCCCCCACCAAGGCUAUAGCCCACCCGUUUUUUGGCCAUUUUUCCGCUGGGGGAUUUUGGCACCACGACCUUCGGGCGCUUAUUUUUGGACGCGGCUGUGCCCGCGACUUCCCGCGGGCACCCCGAGGCCCCUCGCAAAGUCUCGCCCCAUUCCGAGUCCGGCAGACGAACUUCGCCCGCGCCCCCCACCAAGGCUAUAGCCCACCCGUUUUUUGGCCAUUUUUCCGCUGGGGGGUUUUGGCACCACGAACUUCGGGCGCUUAUUUUUGGAUGCGGCUGUGCCCGCGACUUCCCGCGGGCACCCCGAGGCCCCUCGCAAAGUGUCGCCCCAUUCCGAGUCCGGCGGACGAACUUCGCCCGCGGCCCCCACCAAGGCUAUAGCCCACCCGUUUUUUGGCCAUUUUUCCGCUGGGGGGUUUUGGCACCACGACCUUCGCGCGCUUAUUUUUGGGCGCGGCUUUGCCCGCGGCUUAUUUUUGGUAACCCGAGGCCCCUCGCAAAGUCUCGCCCCAUUCCGAGUCCGGCGGACGAACUUCGCCCGCGCCCCCCACCAAGGCUAUAGCCCACCCGUUUUUUUGGCCAUUUUUCCGCUGGGGGGUUUUGGCACCACGACCU